GUGCUCGCUUCGGCAGCACAUAUACUAAAAUUGGAACGACACAGAGAAGAUUAGCGUGGCCCCUGCACAAGGAUGACACACAAAUUCAUGAAGCGUUCCAUAUUAAA
Molecule: small nuclear RNA, 107 nt
Filed under: Lynx canadensis (Canada lynx)
Lineage: Eukaryota; Metazoa; Chordata; Mammalia; Carnivora; Felidae
Source: RNAcentral